GCUUGGGUUUAGAUUGAUGGCAGCAGCCCCAUCUCCCUGUGUAACUCAUAGUGCCAGAGCAAACUGUGGCCUUGAACCAUUGCCCGGCCUCUGCCUGCAGGCUACAGGCACUGAGGCAGAUUGCACAGUG
Molecule: small nucleolar RNA, 130 nt
Organism: Myotis daubentonii (Daubenton's bat)
Lineage: Eukaryota; Metazoa; Chordata; Mammalia; Chiroptera; Vespertilionidae
Product: small nucleolar RNA SNORA42/SNORA80 family
Source: RefSeq, a predicted model, not a curated record